Molecule: small nuclear RNA, 107 nt
Organism: Neogale vison (American mink)
Lineage: Eukaryota; Metazoa; Chordata; Mammalia; Carnivora; Mustelidae
Source: Ensembl
GUACUUGUUUUGACAGUACAUGUGCUAAAAUUAGAAUGAUACAGGGAAGAUUAGCAUGGCCCCUGGGCUAGGAAGACAGACAAAUUUUUGAAUAAUAGUUUAGCUUU